This 475-nucleotide ribosomal RNA is filed under the name uncultured bacterium. RNAcentral's name for it is "bacterial SSU rRNA". It matches the Rfam family "Bacterial small subunit ribosomal RNA", at positions 329 to 793 of the family's 1533-position model. The record is from RNAcentral.
GCAGAGCAUCCUACGGGAGGCAGCAGUGGGGAAUAUUGCACAAUGGGCGCAAGCCUGAUGCAGCCAUGCCGCGUGUAUGAAGAAGGCCUUCGGGUUGUAAAGACUUUCAGCAGUGAGGAAGGUGGGUAUGUUAAUAGCAUACUCAUUUGACGUUAGCUGCAGAAGAAGCACCGGCUAACUCCGUGCCAGCAGCCGCGGUAAUACGGAGGGUGCGAGCGUUAAUCGGAAUUACUGGGCGUAAAGCGCAUGCAGGUGGUUUGUUAAGUCAGAUGUGAAAAGCCCCGGGGCUCAACCUCGGAAUUGCAUUUGAAACUGGCAAACUAGAGUACUGUAGAGGGGGGUAGAAUUUCAGGUGUAGCGGUGAAAAUGCGUAGAGAUCUGAAGGAAUACCGGUGGCGAAGGCGGCCCCCCUGGACAGAUACUGACACUCAGAUGCGAAAGCGUGGGGAGCAAACAGGAUUAGAUACCCUGGUAG